UGUAAUUGUAUACAAUAAAACAUGUUACUCUAAAAUUACUCUCAAUUGUCCCCUUAAACCGGCUUAAGGUGAAUUCCAGUUACUAAGAUAUUGUUCUUCCAAAAAAAAACUGGGUCAACUUUUGACCAAGAGAGGAGCUUGUUGCAUACGACACUAUGGUCCAUUCCCACCACACAGCAACCACAUUCGCGCGCGAUUCAACUUCCGAUUCCUCUGUUUUUGAUUCCUUCCGUUACCACAGCUCCACCGUACUAAUGACGCACAAACAACGCUUCAAGCGAGUUGCAAAACCCAUUUUACAGUUUCCACGAAUCAAACCCGCACGUAAAACGCGGCUUUCCAAAUCACCCAAACUCACCGCUCCCGAAUCCAACUCUCCAUCAUCAGAACCGCACAUUUCUUUCGAAAAAACGGAAACUUUGCCCCGCGAGUUCUUCCAAAUCGACGCAUUAGACCUUGCCCCUCGUUUACUCGGAAAGUUUCUUCGCAGAGACGACAUCGUUCUUCAGAUUACCGAGGUAACGUACUUUCGGCAUAUUCAAAACUCAAUUUAGUUCCUAAAUUUGUAGCAUUUUAUCAAUUUACUCUUUUGAACUUUACUAAUAGUCCAAAAUAUAUUUGAAAUUGAAAAUUUUGAAUAGGUCAAUAAUUUUACACGGACGUUUCCUGAUUAAGUUUAGUUUAUUCAUUUUUUUAAAAUUAUUACCGAUGACGUCGGUGUCGUGUCUGCGCUUCAUAGGUUUUAGGUUUUAAAGUUCUGUUUGUGUGUGUGAUUUAACUAGGAAUUAAUGUUAGACAGGUUGAAGCAUACAGAUCAAAUGACUCAGCUAGUCAUGGUCGAUUUGGUAUUACUCCAAGAACUGCUCCUCUUGUAAGAUGCUUUUUUUUCCACUUCUUUUUAGUCAUUUGCAUAAACCUGUUUAUGAUUCAUGAGUAUCUGAAUUCUCUAACUUGAAUUGAAGAUGCUAAGUUAAGUUAUGUAGAAUAAAAUUUCUCUGUAUUUGUUCCUGUUUUGUAGUUUGGACCGUGUGGGCAUGCGUAUGUUUAUCUUUGCUAUGGACUCCAUGUGAUGCUGAAUGUGUUGCUGAUAAGGAAGGAGCUGAGCUGGUGUUUUGAUACGUUCUUGUGCCCCGUUUGUGGUAAUGGUUAAUCGUAUAGCUCGUUCGUUGUUUGUACUGAGGUUUAAAUUGUGAUAGCGAAGACAUCAAAAAUCUUGAUGUCCAGCUGAGAUUUUGGACCUUAUUUUAAAACACUUACUAAGUAAGAGUUAAAUCAACUAUAGCAAAAUGGCUACAAUAUCUCCACUAGCAUUCAUUAACAUAUAACCCAUGCAUAAAUUAUUUCUGUUUAUUUUGUAAUGUUCGACAAUAUUACAGGAUUGGAUGUUAUUCAACAGCGCGAGGUCAAAAACGGACAAACCUAUACUUCUUACAGGUCCUGGGAAGGUUAGUUUCCCUCCCACGUUUUCAUCUGUUUAAGAUGCUUUCCAGGAAGAUAAUACAGCUAAUGUUUUGCACUACGUAUCAUAUCAGAGUUCACUAUGAUCACAAUGAUUACAUUGGUUCUUGCUAAAAUAGAAAUAAAAAUAAAUAAAUAAUAAGAUAGAAAGGUUUCAUCACUUAGUUUACUUCCUAUCUUUGACCAAUUCAAUGCUAUUUAUUAAUCUUAAGAAAGAAAGUUGUUAAUGGAGUUGAAUUUUUGUUUUCAAACUAAUGUCCUUGCAUUCUGAAUAAUGUCUUUCUAAAUCUUAGGUUGGUCAGGCUCUAGGUCUUUCAACUGAAUGGUCCAAUCAUCCCCUUUAUACUCUCUGGUAAGCUCAUAUUAUUCUUUGUGUUCCAAAUCUGAAAUUUAAAAAUAGAUAUCAAUGGUUUCUAAAGGAAAAGAGUGUCGAUGCAGGCGGUUUGGAACUCUUAGAUGGUCCAGAGCCUGAAAACAUACUGGUAGGUCACGUGGUUGGUAUCCAGUACGCAUUGCCAGAGCAUGUCGAGGCACUGUGGAGAUUUGCCAUUGCAGGUUCCGCCUUGGAUUAGUGCUCCAAGAAACACUCUCAGGCCACCCUUGUAGAGUGGAAUGGUAGUAGCUUGAGGAAUACUAGUGUUUUGAUAAUAACUAACAAGUUAGUGUGUAUCUUUAUCUUUGAACUUUGUAAGAAUGUGUCAUAUAUACACCUUAUAAAAUAUAUAUUGUAUAGAAUUUUACUCCUAGAGUUACCUCAUAUAGAAUCACCCAAAAAAUGCCACAUUGAAGUUACAUUUCUAAGGGAAAAACCCAAACGCCUUCUCUUAGGUAUUUUUAUUUGAGGUGUCAUUGGGCAUUAAAUGGAGGUUUUACAAUGUAGUUUGACCUGUGAUUCAUUUUGUUGUGAAAACUAGCUCUUUCUACGAAAUUCAACUAUUGUUGCAUCAAUGUGGCUUUGUGUUGGUUUUUGAUGAAUAUUAUAGAUACAUUGUAGAUAGGAUUUAGGUCACAUUGGGUUGAACCAUCUGGAUCUUUGUCUUGUGUAAGGGGUUUGUCUUGUCCUUCCGAGAGAAUAUGCAACGGUGGCUGAUUUAUUGGAUGCUGAUGCCAAUUGGUAGAAUGGUUCACCUUGAUAAUUGGAUGGUGUUCUAGAGUUUGAAUGUUCCUGAGAGAGUGCAGUAUUUUUUUGGAAGAGAGUUAGAUCUGUAGAGUUAAAUGUAUAUUCUAAGGUGUUAUUUUCUUGGUGCCCAAGAGAGCAUGAGAGAGUGCGGUAUUUUCUUUGGAAGAGAGGUUUUAGAUCAGGAGAUUUAAAUGUAAAUUCUUAAGUUGUUCUUGUUGGUGCACAAGAGAGCUGGGGGAAAAAGUUGUAACUAAUUACAACUUUUCUAGUGAAAAUGAUUACUCUAAAAAUUAUGUUACAAGCAAACUUACAUUGGGUUUUUAGACUAACACCCAAGUGAAAUGAAACUUAAAUGCAAUUUAAAUUACAUCUAAAUGCAAAUAAAAUACUAAUUAAAUAUUGAAUUUGGUUUCCAUCUCAACCCUAUUUCUUAAUCCACAUUCAAGAUUAAAAUUAACAGUAUUAAUUUCAUCCUUCAAAUGGAUAAAAUGUUCGGUCUUGAUUGCUUUGGUCAGAACAUCUUUAGCUGCUUCUGAGUGCUAUAGUGAACAAUUUCAAGUAUUCCACACUGAACUUGAUUCCUUAGACAAUGAAAUUUUGUGUCAAUGUGCUUACUCCUUUCAUGCAGCAUUGCAUUCUUGGAAAGACUUAUAGUUGAUUUGUUGUCGAUCAUCAAUUUCACAGACUUGCUUACCUUGAUCUUCAGAUCCUGCAGCAAGUUUAGAAUCCAAACAGCUUGACAAGCAGUCAAAACACCUAUAAUGUACUCAACUUUAUAUGUUGACAAUGCAACCACUGGUUGCUUCUUGGAGCAUUAAGAAAUGAAACCUCUUAGAUACUUGAAAAAUAUCCAGAAGUACUUCUUCUGUCAAUUUUGUCUCCACACCAAUCAGAGUCUGAAUAACAUAUCAGCUCUGAAUCAGAUUCAACACCAGAAGGGAAUAAAACUCCAUACUUCAUAGUCCCCUUAAUAUACCUCAACAUCAUGACAACAAAUUGAUAAUGUGACCGCUUUGAUUUGUUCAUCUCAUCAUUCCAACUGCAUAACAGAUAUCGGGUCUGGUAUUACAGAGAUAUCUUAAUGAGUCUACCAAUUGUUUAAAAAUUGUAGCAUCUACAUCAUCACCCUCAACAUCAGAAUCUAAUUUGUGAUUUGUUUCAGCAGGUGUGAUUGCAGACUUGUAGUUCGUCAGCUCAAAUCUCUUCAGAAGCUCAAGUUCAUACUUCAGCUGAUGCAAGAUUAUACCUUUAUUAGAGUGUAAAAUCUCCAUCCUUAGAAAAUAUACCAUAUCUCCUAGAUCAGUAAUCUUAAACUCAUUCAUCAACACCUUCUUGAAUUUAGCUAUCUCAUCUGAACAACUCCAUAUUAGAAAUAUGUCAUCAACAUAAAAACAUACCAAAAUCAUAUUGAUAUCAGAUGUAUGUUGAACAUGAAGACCAUACUCCAUCUCACAUUCCCUGAAUCCUUGAAGCUUAAAAAAUGAAUCAAUUUUCACAGUUCAGGCUCUAGGAGCUUGUUUCAAUCCAUACAAGGCUUUAUGCAACAUGUACACAAUCCCAUCCUGAUUCUUUUUCACUAAUCCAGGAGGUUGUGAUACAUAAACUUCCUAUUAUAAAGGAUCAUUCAGAAAUGUAGAUUUCACAUCUAAAUAGAUCACAUGCUAAUUCCUAUUAGCAUCUAUAGCAAUCACCAGUCUAAUUAUUUCAUGUCUAGCUACAUGAGCAAACACCUCAAAGUAAUCUAGUCUAGAUUUUUGUAAAAAUCCUCUAUCUACUAACCUUACUUUGUGUUUUCCAAUUGAUUCAUAUGGCUUUAGUUUCACCUUGUAAAUCAAUCUGACACUAGUGGAUUUCUUAUUCUUUGGAAACUCAGUCAACUCCCAAGUCUUGUUUCUUUCUAUAGCCUCAAGUUCUUUUUUCAUGGCCUUCAGCCACACUUCUUCUUGAGAGCUUCUUCUGUACUGACUGGUUCAGAGUCUACCAACAUGGCACACUUAAUGACUUCCCAUUCAAAGUCUAUCUUAGUAUCUUGUAGCAUAUCGAACUCUGCAAAUAUAUGGGGUAUUUGUCUGAUUCUUUAUGGUCUCUGAAAUUGUUCAGAAUCUUCUUCAUAUGCUGGAACAAUAUCAGAUAAAAAACUUUAAUUAUUAUUGUAAACAUUUGUCUUAUUAUAUAUGGACUGCUUGCCAAUGUAUUUAUUUUUUGUAGUACCAUGAAACAUUAAAAUGUAUCAGCCAUGAUAUGAAGGUUGCAAAGCUAGUGCAGCCUGAUGAGCCAUCGUUUUAAAAUAUCACGCAACUAUCUAGGUUGUAGAAUUUAUGUAGGAUUGGACAUGAUGGUAACAUAUUUGAGAGUUGACCUAAGAAAAACACAAUAGGAGAUAGAUGGCACUAUAUGAUGUCAUACUAAGCUUUCAUUCUUAGCGGAUCUCUAUGAGCACCACCUGACUAGAGUUGUGGAUGUUGAUGGUGAUGAUACGGAGGUUGCAUACCAUAUAGCAUGUGCAUUGAUGGCAUAUCUUUUGGUUUUGGUCGCCACAUCCAUUUUUAUGGACAAAGGUACAACCUACGUCAAUGUUAUCUACCUUAGAUAUUUCAUUGACUUUGAGAGGAUUCACGAGUAUAACUGGGGAAUUUAUUGUUUGGUGUCCCUCUAGUCCAAACUAGUUGAUGGUACUUUAUGAAAGACUCAAUAGUUGAUAUGAAACAACUAUCUCCUUACGAUACUUUUUGUGCACCUUUAUUGAUAUUAACGUCAUAAUAGUUAUGCUACAUUGUUACUAAUAUUUCAUCUGAACCAUUUUCAGACAUGGAUCCUCCAGUAUUUUCCAUGUCUCUUUGGCUAGGCAUGCGUGGAAGACUACUCUGAAGCUUUUCAACGUUAGUGUGCUUGAUCAUCUCGCUCGAAGGGAAUUAGGCAACUGAGGCAUUCUGAUUUGCUCUUGACUGCAUCGUGUCGGAUGAUAUUUGUUGGAUAUCGUAUGCCGAUCACUGUGACACGGUCUUUAGAGGUGUACCCCCAUCUACUUGAUUAAUUCUUGUGGAAGUUUGGGUAUACUCAGAGACCCCACUGUUGUUUCUCUUGCCAUUGUCCUCAUCAUGGAUGUUGAUGAGAUUUUUGUAUCAUAUUACGAUCAUUUGGUCCCAGAGGAUGUAAGACGUGUGUUAGCUCAUAAUUGAUGGAGUACUACAUAUAAUUGCAUCCAAUGGUUUUAUAGAGUGUCACGUCAUUACAUGUCACUGGAGAAGGAGAUCCCCUAAGGCCAGCUCAUCAUGAGAUCUUAGAGGAAACGCAUGUAAGAGCGGACCAUGUCGUUGAUGUAUUAUUGAUAUGUCACUGCAUUAUGGCUAUUGAGAAAGAGGUUAUGGCUAUGGAGAACUUGAGGAAAUCACUCCUCAGAUGGUCAUUCUACAAGCCAUCUUAGUAUAGGCACAACAUGUGUUGUAGUACCAGCGAUAGAGGGGGAGCAAGGGUAUCAAAUAUACACAGUAGUGGAAUUUUAUUUGGUAUAUUUUGACAUUUCGCAUUAUGGUUUAUACAAGGAUUUAUUAUGACAUUUUGGCAUUCAUAUAUAUGUUAGUUCUUCUAUUUUGAUCUUAUUAUUGAAUGAAAAAUGUGUAUGCUCUAUUUUGUAUGGUUUCUACGAAUCUCGGGAAAUUGCCUCUCAAGAUCUCUAGAAAUAAUACGAUAGUUUCAUAUUUUUUUUUUAUAUCUUUUACAAGAGAGGAAUAGGUUAUAUAUACAUGAAAAAUCAUAUUCUUAAUUAUAACCAAAUCAGGAUAAUUAAUAACUAAUAACUAUAUUCCAUAUUAUAGCUCCUAUGAUAUUAAUGGAUAUCUCGUGCCAAAAAGUUCUUGGUUUCUAAGGGCGACCUCUUUGCAAAUUAUAAUAAUAAAUUGUGAUCGACCAAGUUGUAGUUGGUGGAGGUGGCCUCUAAAGUCUAAUGCCAUCAAUGGAAUUGAUGAAUCAACUUUCUUUUGGAUUUUUCACUAUUAUUCAUAUUUGUAUAUAAAUGUACGUGUUCAUGGUAUUAACAUGAAGUCGCUUUGGCUGAGUGGUUAAGACAUGUGCCUGCUAAGUACAAGGGGUUUCCCCGCGAGAGUUCGAAUCUCUCAGGUGAUGAUUUUUUAAAACACAUGCUAGUAACAUGAUUUAUGUUAAUUAAUAAUGCUUACUGAAUGCACAAGAGUUAGUAACAUAUAAUUAUUGGGUCACUCAUAGUUAGCUUAUUUGAAAUAAAUUUGACAACUCUUUAUGGUUUGAAUGGACUAGACGUUGCUACUUUUGGUCUUAUACCAAUGAAUUUUAUAACAUGGAGUCACUUUGGCCGAAUGGUUAAGGCGUGUGUCAUGUUAAGUACAUGGGGUUUCCCCGCAAGAGUUUGAAUCUCUCAGGCGACAAUUUUUUUUUGGGAUUGGUUUCAUAAGAGGGGUUGGCUUAAGAGGUGGGGUUGGUUUCACACAGGGCCGGCCUUUCACAGGCGCAACAGGCCCUAUGGAACUGGGCCCCAAAAUUUUGGGGGCCUAUUUUUUUUUUUUUAAUUAGUUUAAACAAUACUUUGAAUUUUUAGUGUAUUUUUUUAUUAUUAAAUUAUAUAUAUAUUUUAGAUUUAGGCCUAUUUAUUAAAUUAAAACAGGGCCUCCAGAUUGAUUGGGCCGGCCCUGGUUUCACAUGACUUUUAUUAAUACUAAUAUGUUGAAUGUCAAAUAUGAGAUCGUCACCAAUGUCUUCAUCAUUAAACAUAUGUGCUAGAAUCCAAGGUUCAGUCCCAAAAUAUUUGUGCAACCUUAUUUGUGAUACCAUGUCUUUAAGGGAAAAAGCUUGAAAAUAUUCUUGAGCAUCUUUAGCAUGGGCAGAAGCUUGAGAAUAUACAUGAAUAUCUUCGGCGGAAAAUAAGCUUGAGAAUGUGCUUGAGAUUUUUCAACAUAGAAAAAGCUUGAGAAGUACAUGGUUACUGUUCCGGAAUGACCGUAAUGGACAUUAACUGAUCGUACGAAAGGGGGUGUAGAAAAAGGGAGUUAUACUACGAAAGAGAACAUGAGUUAUCCAACUAUUUCCCGUAUCUCACGCUUGGAGAAUAGGAGUUUGUUGCAAUUGUCUCACUAUAUUAACACAUUACAAUAAAUAACGCUUUUCAUAACGAAAUUUUCACCUCAAACAAUAGAAAACCGAGGUAUAAAGCCAAGACGCACUAUUUUGUAUUAAUUAAAAAAAUAAAAAAGCAUACAUUCCCUCGGUUUUUUAUAACACAAAAGUGAAAAAACAACUCAGUACAAGUUUCAAUUCCAGCUAAUGCACUUUAUGAUUUUAUUUGUUUAUAAGUGUAAACAAAAUGUUCUAACCCUUCAAUUUUCUAUUUAACCGAAGGGUUAGAAUAUAAGAGCAAAGAUAUUAGCGAAGAUAUUUAGUAAUAAGAGCAAAUUUUUGUUGUAAAUAAUUUAUUUUAAUAUUAUAUGUAAAAAAUGUAAUUUCAACAAAAAAAAAUUAUUCACCUCGAUUUUCGUCAUCAUUGAGGUAAUAGUUAAAAGGAGAAAAUAAAAAAUCUCGAUUUUAUAUUAAAACAUAAGUGUUUAAUCAUCAUAUUUUAUUAUAAAAACACUCGUUAAAUGAUUUUACCCUAAGAUUUUUCUGCCCUUGCAAUCUAUUUCACAUAAUGAUGUUUAUGUUAUUGUUGUAUUUUUUCAAUAAACUUCUUAUGUUGUCAAUCAAAGAAAACAUUGAGAAAUUUAUUGUUUUCCUCAAUUGACAACAUUGAAAAAUUUAUUCCUAAAAAUAAUUAUCUAUUUCUCUUUCACGUUCUCUGUCAUGUUAAAGCAUUUGCCAUGAAAAAUAUUUGCUCAAGAUAAUGAAAUCUCUCUAGGAUGGAUUGCAAGUACAGAGAAAAAAAUUCUCUUAUUUGAAACAAAUAACUUAGAAAUUUGGAAAAAUAUGUUGUUCUCCAAGAAUCAUUUGUCAAACUCUUGAUUUGUUUGAACAAUUUAUUUUAUUAUUUUGUGUAAACAAUGUAAAUAUUAAAAAAAAAUCCCUCGAUUUUUAACAAAUGUUGAGAGGUGUGUGGUUGAUUUGUUUGGACAAUUUAUUUUACUGUUCUGUGUAGUCAACAUUGAAAAAAACAAUAUUUUCCCCUCUGUUUUUAACAGAUACCGAGAGAUAUUUGACGUUUGGGUUGGAACAUGUUUUAUUGAGGUAAAAUAUAAGUGUGUUUCUUCAUCGUUCUUAAACAAAUCUUUAUCUUUCAUUUAAUAAGUAUCAACGCUGAAGACACUGCCAUUAGCAAUCCUCGUGAAACCUAAAAUCCUCAUUAUAAAAGUAUUCUCAAUAUUAGUGAAUAUACAAGAAACUAAAAUAUUGUGAAACCCUCUAUGUUUAAUCAGAACACUGUAUCAAUGUGAUAUAUUGUAAGAUUAGGAAAAAUUUAGGUUUUUAAUAUAUAAUUGGUGAGAGUAGUGUAUUUACUUUGCAAGUGAAGAAUUGCAAGUGCAGAAAAUUAUUUGAGGUUCAAGGUUUGUGUUAUUAUAUAAUCAUAUAACUAGAUAUUUAUUUUACUAUCUUGUUUUUUUUUUUGGUUUUAUAUCAGAAACAAAUGAAUGCAAAAGUCAUUGAGAAUAUAUUGCAUUCAACAUUUGAUCAUCCUCAAGAUCAAUGAAACGAGGAUCCCCAACAGUUGUUCUUCUCAAAGAGAUCCAACAUGUGUUCUUCACCGACAGUGAUGACGAUGAAUAACAAUAUUUUUACUUUAAUUUUUUGUAUAAACAGUGUAAUAUUUUAUGUAAAUAAUAUAGUUUGUAAACAAAUUAAUUUAUUAAUAUUCCGUGUAAAUAAUAUAAUAUCGAUUUUGUUAUAAAACCGAGAGGUAUAUGAUAUUAGUUUGGAAAAUAUAAAAAAACUAUUGAUGGGAUCCAAACAUAUGACCAUUUAAAAUAACCCCUAAGUUAUUUUUAAACUGAAACAAAACUCUCACUUUUCAUGUCAUCCUUUGUUACUUUGGCAUUAUAACCGAGAUAAAACUCAUAUCACAUUCGAUAUGAUAUAUGUUAUUUGUAAUAAAGACGAUAACUUGUAAAUAAAAAACAAAGUGAGCAAUUGAUUAUAAAGAGAGAAAAAAAGAAGUUGAAGUUUGAUAAUGACAUUUUAACAUUCAAAAACAAAAAGAGGUGAACAAAACAAAACAAUCAAAUAAGCCAACGUUUUAUAAAAAACAAAAGGAGCAUAUGUUUUUAACAUAAACAAAUCAAAAUGAAUGAAUAGUUGACUUGUAGGAUGACACAGGUCAGACAAGUAUUUUAAAAAAUGUUUUUAUCACUCAACAAAUUAAAAAUAAUAAAAUGUUAACUUGUAGCAUGACAUAAAUCACGAAAGAAUUUUAAACAAAAACAAAACAAUCAAAUAAAAAUUAAGUAUUCACUUAAUUUUAAAUGAACCGUGGAAGCCUAAAUGAAUCAUCAUUCUUGCUUCUUCAAUGUCCGACACUUCUUCAACUUUGUGAAUGAAGGGUACUUCUUUAUUUUACUGCUCUCUUUACUUAAGUUAUGGUUUUUAGUAUUUUCUAGAAACUCAGAUUUUGAAACAAGUCUCUCCAAUUUUCAAAAGUUAUUCAUCAAUUCAGUUUCUUCUAUUAUACAAGUAAAUGAAUCACUUCAAUAUAUAUAUAUAUAUAUAUAGUAUAUAUAUUAUAUUAUAAUAUAUAUAUAAUAUAAUAUAAUAUAUAUAAAUAUAUAUCAUUAUAUAUUAUAUAUCUAUAUAUUAUAUAAUAAUAAUGAUUAUAUAUAUAUUAUAUAUAUAUAUAAUAUAAUAUAUAUAUACAUAUGUUUUUACAUGCGCAAUAUAUCUUAUUUUAUCCUUAUUUAUAUAAGGUGUGUGUUUUCAAGGUUUAAAAAUAAUUCCCAGGAAUUGUCAGGAAUGCAACUUCCAUGUUGAUUCAAUUUUAAGAAUUAUCCAAGAUAUAUUUUAUCCAGAACUUAUUGUCACUGGUUUUUAUUUUAUCAAGGUUAUAAAGGUGAAAUCCCCCACCAUCCUAGGAAUAAAAUUAAACUAACACAACUCCCACAUACUACACAUUAAUUAUUUAUUUUUUAUAAUUUUAAAUUAAAUAUUAUAACACAUUUCUAGGAAAUUAGUUUUACCAAACACUUGAUAAAAAAUUAUUCCAAUAAAUAAUAAUGAUGGAAUAAGAUUCCAAAAUAGUUACUUCUAAACUGAAACAAACACACCUAAUAAAUUUGGAUUAUAUUUAUUACUCCUUUGAUUAUUUAUAAAAAUUUUUUUAAAUUAAUGAAAAAUUAAUAAUCUAUAUACAUAAAAACAAAUAUAUAAUUUCAACAAACAUUGAAAUAUGAACCUUUUUUCUUUUAAAAAAAUAAUUAAUAAAAUAAUAAAAUUAUUUUAGUGCCCAAAAAUAUUACAAAUUUGUUAAGGCUUGCUCAUUCCACAUCAUAACAAUGAUUUUUAUUAUUUAUUAGUUAAUACAUUUUGUUAAUAAAACUCAAAUAAUAUGAAAAAAUUUCUAAUGUUGUUUAGAGUUAUAUGCUACUUGUUCGGUUAAUUUUUAAGUCACUAUUGAUAUAUUGAUAAACAAAUAGAAUAAAUAAUAUAAUUUGGAAUUGAAGAUGAUGAAUAAUGGGAAUUAGGAGAGAGAGAAUUUGUCAUAUGUUUAUUGAUGAUACUCUCAAGAUAUAAUAUUAUAUAAAUAUUAAAUAUAUAUUAAUUUAUAAUACUAUUAUAUAUAUAUAUACUAUAUAUAUAUAUAUUUAUAUAUAUAAAAGACAUUACACAACAAUUGGGAUAUAAUUAACAUAAGUCAAAUAAUAGAAAAAUAAAAAACUCGAGCUUGUGACCGAUUACACAAAACUUGUAACCGAGUACAGUUGAAACAAACUGAAAUUAACUAACAAUGGUAACCGGUUAUUGCGAAUGUGUAACUGGUUACACCAAUUCCAUAAGCACAUUUUGCUACUUAUUUGACUUCUUUUGACACCUGUAACCGGUUACUCCCCCGUGUUAAUUGAUUACAAUAUUUUAACUACUCAAAAAACUCUUAACACACCACCUUAAUUCUAGUGCUCCAAGUCUUCCAUGCCCAUGUUCAUCUUCAAACUCUUGAACAAUUUAUUUGUAACUCCCUUAGUCAAUAAAUCAACCAUUUGAUUUUCACUUUUACAAUAUUCCAAUCUUAACUUUUCUUCACUAACAAGCUCCCUCAAGUAGUGAAACGUCGUCUCAAUGUGUUUGUUCCUCCCAUGUGCAAUUGAGUUCUUAGAAAGAUUAAUCGCAGAAAAGUUAUCAACGGGAAGUGUAACAACCUCCCCUUCUUUAGCCACAUGACUUGGCAUGCACAUAACGAAGCGACAAUAUACUCGGCCUCACAAGACGAGAGUUCAACUACCGAUUCCUUCUUCAAACACAUGAGAUUGGUGUUCCUCAUAAUAUAAAGAUGUAUCCAACUGUAGACUUUAGAUCAUCUUUAUCAAUUCCUUCUUCAAACACAUGAGAUUGGUGUUCCUCAUAAUAUAAAGAUGUAUCCAACUGUAGACUUUAGAUCAUCUUUAUCUUUGCACCAAUUGAAAUCGGUAAAACUGAGUAAAUUGCUUUUUCUGCCCAUAUCCGUUGUAGGAAAGAGAAUUUCGUAUCCAAUAGACCCUUUGACAUAUCUUAGAAUUCUUCUUGACUGCUGUCAAGUGAGACACCUUCGCUCUCCCCAUGAAUAUACUCAUAAUACUGAUACUAAACGCCAAUUCCGGUCGCGUAUUGCACAAAUAGCGCUAGGAUCCAAUCAGCCUCCUAUAGUGAGUUAGACCAACAUCUUACUCAUCCAAAAUUCCUAGUUUUAAAAUAAGGGAAUCAAAGAUAAAAAAAAAUGAAAAUAGGGGAACCAAAAAUACAAUUAAGCCUAAUAAUUAUAUAAGGAAUAAAAAAAGAAAAAAAUUGGAUAAUCCACUACUCAAACCAUAAAUUUAUGAUUUUAUCCAAACCAUCGUAAUUAUAUUGUGGGUGGUUAUUUUACCUCACCCAAAAUAGUGUACCCUGUAUAGAUUGAGUCAUGGUUUUAGCUAAAAUUCAACCUAAAUCGACUCAUGUGCACCCCUAUUGCUAGGCGUGUCAAUAAAAAUAGUGUACCCUGUAUAGAUUGAGUCAUGGUUUUAGCUAAAAUUCAACCUAAAUCGACUCAUGUGCACCCCUAUUGCUAGGCGUGUCAAUUUGUUUACCGGAGUUUUUAGUAAACAAAUCAAGAAUUUUAAUUCACUUAAAUAAUUAAAUUUGAAAAGAUCUUAAGAACAUUUUAUGUGAAAUGUUUGAGAAAGUGUAAUAAUGUUAUGAUGUUAUAAAGGAAAUAAGUGUAGAAAUAUUUAAAAAGAAUAAAGUAAAAUGAAGAAAACGAAGAACAAAUGUAAUUGGAUAAAAAUGCUCGAGUUUAAAAGUGGGACGCAUGUUCAUAUAUUUCUCAAAAAAAUUAUAUUAUUAUGACUUAGAUGUUUGAACUUUAUAGGAAAUAAAAUGAAAUGUGAACCCUUGCCUUAGAUGUCAAAUCUAGUUAUAUAUUAUACACAUUAUUACGUGUCGGAAACGGUUAUUCCUUCAUGAUUCAACCCGUAUCUUAUUACGUGGACUUUUAUUUUUUGAUAUACUUUCACAAAUCUUUGAUUCUAGAAGUGUGUGAAACUACUAUCACACUUGAAAUUGUUUUCAAAUUCUCUAAUUGUCUCGAUCGAAUAGUUCUUCAAUCGAAUCUUAUGGUAUUUUAUCAUAAAUACUAACUAAGUCAUCCAAAGAAUAUGUAAAGUCUUUAGUUAAAUUAGUUGUCUCUUAGAUGUGGAUCGAAUUCAUCCUCUCGAUUAAAACCAUUAAUAUGUCAAAAUUAUAAUUUAAUCUUCUUACCCUCAAUAUUUUCAUACAUUUAUACCACACAUUAACAUCGAAAUACUAAGAUAAAGGUUUCUUACCAGCGGACUUAAAAAUAGUAUUUUAUCCUUUUUAUACUAGGGGUGUAAUUGUAUACAAUAAAACAUGUUACUCUAAAAUUACUCUCAAUUGUCCCCUUAAACCGGCUUAAGGUGAAUUCCAGUUACUAAGAUAUUGUUCUUCCAAAAUAAAAACUGGGUCAACUUUUGACCAAGAGAGGAGCUCGUUGCAUACGACACUAUGUUCCAUUCCCACCACACAGCAACCACAUUCGCGCGCGAUUCAACUUCCGAUUCCUCUGUU
Molecule: long non-coding RNA, 13777 nt
Filed under: Lathyrus oleraceus (garden pea)
Lineage: Eukaryota; Viridiplantae; Streptophyta; Magnoliopsida; Fabales; Fabaceae
Description: Pisum sativum (pea) long non-coding RNA (PSAT_LNC009535)
Rfam family: tRNA (bases 6619-6700)
Source: RNAcentral